Molecule: transfer RNA, 78 nt
Filed under: Cervus elaphus hippelaphus
Lineage: Eukaryota; Metazoa; Chordata; Mammalia; Artiodactyla; Cervidae
Description: tRNA-Glu
Source: RNAcentral
UUCCUGGCGAUCCAGUGGUUAGGACCCGGUGCUUCCACUGCAAGGGGCCUCGGUUCAAUCCCACCAGCCACUGAGCCA